GGAUGCGAUCAUACCAGCACUAAAGCACCGGAUCCCAUCAGAACUCCGAAGUUAAUCGUGCUUGGGCGAGAGUAGUACUAGGAUGGGUGACCUCCUGGGAAGUCCUUGUGUUGCAUUCC
This 119-nucleotide ribosomal RNA is filed under the name Aegilops tauschii subsp. strangulata. The record is from RNAcentral. Lineage: Eukaryota; Viridiplantae; Streptophyta; Magnoliopsida; Poales; Poaceae.